RNAcentral lists this ribosomal RNA (514 nucleotides) under uncultured bacterium. RNAcentral describes it as "bacterial SSU rRNA". It matches the Rfam family "Bacterial small subunit ribosomal RNA", at positions 15 to 518 of the family's 1533-position model. The record is from RNAcentral.
GAUUCUGGCUCAGGAUGAACGCUAGCGACAGGCUUAACACAUGCAAGUCGAGGGGCAGCACGGGAGUAGCAAUACAACUGGUGGCGACCGGCGCACGGGUGAGUAACGCGUAUGCAACCUACCUAUCAGAGGGGAAUAACCCGGCGAAAGUCGGACUAAUACCGCAUAAAACAGGGGCACCGCAUGGUGAUAUUUGUUAAAGAAAUUCGCUGAUAGAUGGGCAUGCGUUCCAUUAGGUAGUUGGUGAGGUAACGGCUCACCAAGCCGACGAUGGAUAGGGGAACUGAGAGGUUGGUCCCCCACACUGGUACUGAGACACGGACCAGACUCCUACGGGAGGCAGCAGUGAGGAAUAUUGGUCAAUGGGCGAGAGCCUGAACCAGCCAAGUUCCGCGUGAAGGAAGAAGGAUCUAUGGUUACGUAAACUUCUUUGCGAGGGAAUAAAGUGCGGGACGUGUCCUGUUUUGUAUGUACCCUGAGAAUAAGGAUCGGCUAACUCCGUGCCAGCCGCCGC